This 328-nucleotide ribosomal RNA is filed under the name uncultured eukaryote. Its description in RNAcentral is "partial 18S ribosomal RNA". It matches the Rfam family "Eukaryotic small subunit ribosomal RNA", at positions 1470 to 1796 of the family's 1831-position model. The record is from RNAcentral.
CCCUUAGAUGUUCUGGGCCGCACGCGCGCUACACUGAUACGUUCAGCGAGUAUAUAACCUUGAUUGGAAAAUCUGGGUAAUCUUUUGAAUGCGUAUCGUGCUAGGGAUAGAUUAUUGCAAUUAUUAAUCUUGAACGAGGAAUUCCUAGUAAACGCAAGUCAUCAGCUUGCAUUGAUUACGUCCCUGCCCUUUGUACACACCGCCUGUCGCACAAACCGAUUGAAUGAUUCGGUGAAAAUUUUGGACAUCGAGAGUGGUGAUUAAUUUCGCUGCUCUUAAAUGGAAAGAAUUUAAACCUAAUUAUUUAGAGGAUGGUGAAGUCAUAACA